This 313-nucleotide unclassified non-coding RNA is filed under the name Hevea brasiliensis (rubber tree). The record is from RNAcentral. Lineage: Eukaryota; Viridiplantae; Streptophyta; Magnoliopsida; Malpighiales; Euphorbiaceae.
AUCGCAUAGAGGAGGACAUGGCUGCCAAAAACAACACAGAAGAACAAAGACAUCAGGAAGGAAGAAAGAUAAAACUUCGUAAAUUGAUCACAGAAUCUUAUGAUGAAAAUGACGUAAAUCUCUCUGCAAAAUCUUUGAAAAACAUCAAUCAUCCGCACUAAACAGCAAUACAAAUAGAUAUAGGGGAUACUAUAUUUACUCCAGUCAAAACUAUUCACUUAUCAUAAAGGAAUUUGAAUUUCAAAAGCACUGAUAGAUGGGAAAGUUAGAGCAAUUUUUUGAGGAAUACCGAAACAAUUCCAGCAUCACAUAA